This 10116-nucleotide long non-coding RNA is filed under the name Homo sapiens (human). Its description in RNAcentral is "HSALNT0011171". The record is from RNAcentral. Lineage: Eukaryota; Metazoa; Chordata; Mammalia; Primates; Hominidae.
GGAAUGGGGAGGGCAUGGCCAGUGUCCAGUGAGAACAGAGAAUGCUCUAGGGUUCUGGGGCCGGACUUGGAGCUGUGCAGAGACCUGGGAUCUACCAGAGAUGCAGCCCCCAAGUACAUGGGGUAGUGAGGAAGCCCUCUGGUCUCUCUUCUCCCAUUCUUUUACUCUUUUCUUGUUCCUUCCACUGGCCCAAAAAACUGAACGCCAACAGGCAAGGGAUCCCAGGUGAAGCCUCACAGGAGGCUGACCUCCCAGGACUUACAUCAAGGCAGAUGGUGAGUGCCCCCCAAUGGUGAGUGCAUGUGCCAGCCAUGAUAGAUGGGAGUGGGAUGAUCCUCAGGCCCCUGGCAGAGAGUUCAGUUUCUGAGGUCAUCAGAGAAGAUUUGCCAGAGGCUUUCGCUUACCCAAGGGAAGUAAUGUUAAAGGGUCAUGUGUUUUUCUGAAGCAAAGUAUCGCUUUUACAGAGAAAUGGCUGCUACCUAGGGCCAGUGCCUUCACAGUUUGGUUAUGCUAAGUAGAAGAUACAGAUUUGUAAUGCCUAAAUUCUCACACUUCUAAUCCUACAGUCCAAUUAUUCUGUUAACCAGGCAUUUGCUACAAUGUGCUCUGAAGAAAUGGAUUGGAAAUAAACAAAUAAAUAAAUAAAUAAAUAAUUCCACAGGAGGAAAAAAAUGCGUUCUGAAAGGAUCAGGAUUUUCAAAGCCCCCAAGCUUCAACAUAUCCGAGGAUCGAAGGCCUGAAUAAAGUGGCAUCACAGAAGUGUGAGAACAGCCUUUCCCCAUUCUCCGGAGUGGAUCCAUGAGCCAGGAGUCAGGCCUGCACUUUGAGGAGCGGAAGUGCUUUUGUGAGGACAAGCAAGAAUGUCUUGUAAUUUCAACUACCCUUAAAGCUGUUUCAGGGUUCCCUGAUAAUGAACUAACUGAUACUGGGACUUCCCUUCUCCAUCCCCCAAAGAAAAGCUGCGUUCCAACUCAACACCUCAUAGAACCAGAGCCCCCUAAUAUCCCUAGGUGUGGGCAGCUGGCAUUCCCCAACAUUCCCCUAACACCCAGCACCUAAGCUAAGAAUGCUUGGGGCCUGAACCCCAAAUGUUUAUUCAGCCAUGUAAAGCCACUUGCACACUUGUCCUAUAAAAAAGGAAAGCAACAGAAUGUUUUUCUCCUCUUGGAGCAGAGCCCCACAGUGAAUCUAGCAAUGCACUGGCUCAAACAUGCCCCCUUUUCAGCAGCAUGCUGAAAGAAAUAGGAUCCAUGCGUCAGCUGGAAUUUCUAUCUCUGAGUUUCUACCUAAACUAAGUGAUACUUUCUGUUAUUCCCAGUCACAUCAAAACAAAUGUGAGAUUCAAAUUUUAAACUGGGCUAUACUGUAACAAAUUAGACUUGACUCUUUUUGUUUUGUUUUGUUUAAAUAACAGAAAGUGACUAGAAAACUAUAGGAUCCACCUAAGAUGCUAAGACAUGGCAAAGUGAGACCAAACAUAGCACAACAAAUAGUUGGAGACAAAAUAAAAGCAUUUUACAUUUGUGCACUACAAUGUUCAGGCUAUUCAACACACUGAUUUCACACAUACAGUCCCAUUUAUUGCCAACAAUAACCCUGCAAAGUAGGUACUAUUAUUGGGCACAUUUUACAUAUAAAACGACUUAAAAUUAGAGGAGGUAGUAUAUAUUUUCCUAAUUUUUGGCAGCCCAGCAUCUAAAGCCCUUUUCUAUGCUUGAAGAAUGCCCUGCCUUAUGAGUGAGUCUUGCUGGAAAGAAGAGACCAGCUUCCAAUAUAAAAACUGAAAAUACCAAAUACUUUUCCCAUAUUCCCUGAUAACUAUCACACUGACAUUAGAAGAGUCUCCACCAACAGAUGUGAGCAUGCCAGUUUUCCCCAGAAUCUAAAGAUACAAAGAAAGAGGAUUUUUGUGGGAAACCACUCUGGUGAAAAUGCCAGUGGAAGUCCUACACUGAACCCGAUUUCCAGUGGCAAGAAUUUUAGUGGCUCCAGCAGCGAUGCCCAGUGCUCCGUGACUAUGGGUUCACAAUGUACACAAACUGGUUGGGCCACUGCAGAUGAAAGAGAUGGCUUCAAGUGCUCAGUUAUGUGUCUUGAUUGGUAAUGUGGCCAUUGGCUGGGUAAUGUCCACACUGCUUCUCUGGCCCUUUUGAAGUGUCUGUUAGCCAUAAUAACUAGAUUUAUUUUCUGAUUAAAUUAGCUAGAAUUAGGUUCUGACUGACUUAGGAUAAGUAAUUGCUCUCUGAUCACACAUAGAGCAAAUGAUGGAGCUGGAAUUCCAGUCUUCACUAGGUUAUACUGAAUGAUGAGAUAAUGUUAUGGGCUGAAUUCAUGUGUUGAAGUCCUCAUCUCCAGAACCUCAGAAUGUCUGUAUUUGGAGAAGAGUUUUUAAUGUUGUAAUUCAGUGAAAGUGAGGUCAGUAGGGUGGCUAUAAUUCAAUAUGACCUGAAUCCUUACGAGAAUGAAAAUCUGGACACAGAAAUCCGUGUGGGAGGCCAUGUGAAGACACGGAGAAAGCAUCCAUCUGUGAGCCAAAGAGAGAGGCCUCAGAAGAAACCACCCCUGCAGACACCUUGUAAUUGGACGUCUAGCCUUCAGAACUGUGAAACAGGAAAUUUCUGUUAUUUAAGCCACCCAGUCUAUGGUACUUUGUUAUGGCAGUCCUAAUAAACUAAUACCAGGAAUGAGGAAUACGAAAGAAUUCAAGAUGAUCUCAAAGUUGCUCAAUGAGGUGACUUUAGAAAAGAUGAAGGGUAUGAGAGGAGUAGCCAUUGCAGAAGGAGAACAAGAUCAUGAAUUCAAUUCAGAAAACUUUGAUUUUGAGACCUCUGCAGGAGAAAAUAAGAGAAAGCUUCAAAGGCCUAGCUUCCUUUAUAGAGUCCUGGGAGAGACCUAAAGUUGAGGAAUAGAGAGAAAAGGCACCUCUGGAUACUCACUGGCAUUGGAUCCAGCUCUGAGUUGCUUGCUUUCUGGGCUUCAGAAUGACAAAGCAGGUUUAUGCACAGAGUUUUUCAAUAAGCAAGUCCCCACUGAAGGUCACAGGCCUAUUUCAGCAGUGGGAGAAACCACAGUCAGCAGUAUUGGGCCAUGCAAGUGAAGGGUUGUUCACUGGAGAGGUUUGUUACCUUAUUGGGAAGAUGAAGUUUUCAUCCAGCAUUAAGCCUAUGGCUAUAAUUCAGGGAUGAGACAAGGGUGUUUGCAUUUGUUAGCAUGAAGACAAACAAAUCCAACACCCUUAGGUCAGAAUUUCAGCUUAACAUGGUAUCUUGUGCUUGAAUAUCCCUUGCAACCUCUCCUGACUUUCCACUUUCCAAAGUGAGUCUUUUAAAAUGCUCACGUUUUGGCUCACACCUGUAAUCCCAGCACUUUGGGAGGCCGAGGCGGGCGGAUCACGAGAUCAGGAGAUCAAGACCACGGUGAAACCCCGUCUCUACUAAAAUACAAAAAAUUAACCGGGCGUGGUGGUGGGCUCCUGUAGUCCCAGCUACUCGGGAGGCUGAGGCAGGAGAAUGACGUGAACCCCGAAGGCGGAGCUUGCAGUGAGCCGAGAUUUCGCCACUGCACUCCAGCCUGGGCGACACUGCGAGACUCCGUCUCAAAAAAAAAAAAAAAAAAAAAAAAAAAAAGGCCACGUUUAUUGGUCUUAUGCCUAUAAAAAAAGUCUAUGUGGACAACCACUCAUUGAUUCAAUAAAUAAUGCUUAAGUGCUUACUCUGUGCCAGGAUUCUGAAAGGCACUGUGGGUAAAUGGUAGGCAAAUCUAAACCUGGUCCUGCCUUCAGAGAGUCUACUGUUUGAACGGAAAAAGAAGAGAAUGAGGCCAAACAAGAGGUUGUUCACCUGAGGAAAUGGAUGGGAGCUGGGCAAGCCUACCUGGCAGAGGCUCACCUGGCUGAGUACCUAUGAAAUUGCCAUGGAUGAUCUCAAAAUUCAAAGAAAAGUCCAGUGCAUAUAAAUAAAAACCUUGAAAACACAAAUUCAUAGGCAAAAGGCUGAGAGGCCACAUAAAUUACUUUUAGUGAAAACAACAAAUAAUAUUAGUAUUAUUUCUGUUUCAGUAUUCAAGGCAGUGGUGAUGGGAACUUGAGGGCAUGAGAAUCAGGGCAAAGAGAAUUACUGAAAGAGUAAAACUAUCUUAAAGAUGUGAGGUUGGCCACUGAUGGAGAGGACAAGCAGGACAGGGAUCGGGGGACCAAAGUCCAGCUGCACUGACUCCAUUCAGCUCUGCUCUGUUCACCCUCAUCCCAAACCUGUCCCCAUCCCCAGACAAAUAGAAGCUGUGGACAAAGAUUGUUUUUGCCCUCCACAUCUCCAAUACUCUGUUUUCAAAUGACUGCAACCAACCCAACAAAAGAACUCACUUAACAUAUUAGUAGUAUCUUAAAUGAUGCAAUUUUAUCUUGUCCAUGAAAUAGCUUCAAUUAAAACAAAUUAUCUCUUUCCAUUCAUAGCUUAAUUCAUAUAGCACAUCUGAUAGAGCCUUUUUAAAUGCUCACUUUUAUUGGUCUUAUUUCAAAAUUAAUUCAUGUUUAUAGUCUAGCAUUUAGAAAAUUCCAAGGCAAAGCAGGCUACAUUUGUGUGUUUCCUCUUGGUGUCUCCAGUGCCCCAUGCCGCCACUGCACAGAGGACAUUAAGCAUUGAACACAGAGAACUAAACCACUUAAGGAACCACCCAUAAUCUCAAUACCAAUAGAUACUUACCCUCACUUUUUUGAUAUGUUUUUUCCAGUCACUUGUGUAUGUAAGCAUACAUACAAAAACAGGUGUGUGUGUGUGUGUAAAAAUGUGUGUUUACAGAGUUCGUUUUACAGGAAAGCACAAAGUCAGAUAGUUGUUAUCGGGCACCUAUGGGAAAUGUCAUAGGAGACUAAAGAUGAGACGAAAACUUUGGGACCACCACUCUUAAUCAUCCUAAUACUUGAUCUUUCCAUGGCUACCCUGAGAUAGAAUAAAUGGCUUUUGUAAAACAACUUAAACCUCAUCUCCUUAAUUGAGGUAUCCUGCUUUCUUACUCUUAUUUACGUGUCUAAGUCAGGGAGAAACAUCCCAUUAUGUCACAAAUAAGAUUAAAGGUAGUUGUAAUUAAAUUUCACCAUGUGCCCUGAGUUUUCCCACCUGAGAAUUAUAAGAAAAAAAUCAAAAGGUCUUCUCCUCUUACUAGACUACCCACCAAAUGGUCAUUACAUUUUCCUGUAGGCUGCAGAUAAAAUCUCUCUAUCAUAAGUCUCCCAAUCACCAAGUGAGAAAACACCACUCUGGGGUCCAGGGAUGUGUAGGCAAUUGAAGAGUUUCUCUUUUAAGAAUGGCAGCUCAUUAGGGUAAGUGUCCAAGAACAUAAUGAAAAAAUUGUGGUAUAUUUAUACUGGGGGAUAUGCCAGAUUAAAAAACGAACACAUUUGAGUUACAGAUAGCAACAUGGAUAAAUCUCUAAUGCAGAAUUUUAAUAAGAAAAAGGCAUAUUGCAGAAUUAUAGGUGCAGUAUAAUACCAUGUAUAUAAAGUUUAAACACAAAAACAUGCUAUAUAUCUUUUAUGGAUAUAUCCUUGUGCAGUAAAAAAUAUAAAAUAUGCAUAAGAAUGACAAAGACAAAUUUUAGAGGAUUUAUUCCCUUAGGGAGAAAAGGAAACGGCAUCACAAGGAUUACAAGAUUUGAAUUGAAUCUACAAUAUUUUAUUCCUUAAGCUGAGUAGCGGGUACAUGGGUGUUCAUAUACUCAAAACCAUUUUUGGCACAUGAAAUAUUUUAAAAUUUUUUAAAAAGCUAGAUAGUAUGAUUGACAUCUUCAGAUACUUGAAGAUCUGGCAUGUUGAUGAUGGAAAGUAUCCUAUGACUAAGUAGGUAAAGCUAUUAUGAAGGCAAAUUUUAGGUCAUUCUUAGGAAAAACCUAAAAGGGCUGUCUAAAAAUGAACAGUGUCUUCUACAUGAUUAAGGAGUAAAACAGAGUUAAGGUCUUCGGAGGUAGCAAGUCACAGUGCAAGUAGAGUUCACUUGUCUUUGUCUUGAAAGCAAAGAUUUCUUUUCUCUUGCAAAAUUCCCGGGACAUAUCCUGAUAAAGCUUUACAUCUCAGCAGCAUCACUCUGAUUGCUCUUUUUUCAGUUGGUGUCAUUGGAAGCCCCUAAACCCUAUUUAACUUCAGUGCCAUUGACUGGCACUUCCUGCCACUUACAUCUUUGCCAUUUGGCAGUGCCUGGGUUGGACAGAUCUGCCACCUGGUUCUGGUUCUGCAUUAUUGUCAUUCCUUGUGCCAGUCAUAAGGAUUCACUGGCACCCCUCUGAGAUUAGGAGUUCUCCAGGUCUGGAGAUAUUAAAAAAGAGAGAGAUGGUCAGCGAUGCUAUAGAAGGGAUUUUAGUAGUCUCUGGUAUGCUGGAGCACAUAACCUUUGAGUAUGGAUUUCCAUAUUCAUUUAUUCAAGAAAUGUUUAGUGAGUGUUUACUUUGUGCAAAGCACCUUGCUCGUUAAGCUUCUAUGGCUCUAGAAUUUGUCUUUGAAAAUGCGUCUCUAACUUUACAGAAAUGAAAAUUGAGACAUGAUGGGAAAACUUAUUUUAAGCAAACAAUAAGGCAGGCAGGCAGGCUGUGGUUUGCAGACCGACCACUUCUAGCCUUAUUGCCAAGAGCACUACGAGAGUCACAGGAACAUUUUGGAGAUAAUGUUACAUUCACAGACUUGUACAUGUCUUACAGUGAAAGACACCCCAGAGGUUAUCCAAUUCAAAUACUUCAUUUUACAGACGAGGAAACAAAAGCCUGGGGAGGUAUGUGGCUAACUGAUUGCAGAAUCUAUUCUCAGAUAUGGUAUUUCCUUCCCAACCUUGAAAGUUGUGUUCCUGAAAACCUCCAUGGAAGGAGAAAUUACACUUGAGGAACUUACGACCUUAGGAAGAAAAUAGAGUUUGGGGAGUAAGAUAGUGAGUGAAUCUGAGAAAGUUAUCAUCAUUGUUUUAUAUCUACUAAUAAAACAAUGUAGGUACCAUUGAUACCCACUUUAUUUUAUGCCGAACGCAUUUGUAAUGGUGAAUCUUGUACAGGUGAUUUUAUUUACUUCUUAGAAUUCCUUAUUAACACUUCUCUAGGCUCUCUAUACACAAUUUUUGUAAAACUUCUUGUGAGUCAUUGCCUUUUUGUGUAAAUACUGGUUACAAUGGAUUGUUUUCUGUUUCAGGUCCUGUUGUCUCUGCCUUUUUGCAUCUUUGACAUUAUCAUUGUAACUUAUAACUUCUAACCUCUACUCUGACUCAACUUGGUUGUUUCCUGAUUCCUCUCUCUCCUUCUUGCUGUUCCUUCUCUCUGCUGUCCUUUAACUGUAGCUGCUCACCAGGACUAUGCUGUAAACUUUCACCUCCUCUCACUGUUUACUCUACCUAUGUAACUAUCAUGUUUGAUAAUGAGGUCCUGCUGAAUAAGCCUGUUUGCUGUCUUUCCAGGCUGUGCUUUCCCACUCCUGCAGCUACUGCCUUAAUUCAGGUUAUCACUGUCUCUCACUAGGACCCCUGCACUAAUCUCCUUGAUUGGUCAAAGGUUUCAUUAUUUGCAUUGUGCUCUGAGUGAAAUUUUCUUAUGACGGCUUACAGUUCCCAGUGGCUGCAUGUGCCUAUAGAACACUAACUUCCUAAGCAUUUCAUCCAAGGCCCUCCACCUUAGCUCUUGUACCCUUUACUCCAGCCAUAUUUAUUGACCCUACUUGAUGGCCUAAUGUACCAGACUAUUUGGCAUCUUCAUGCCUUUGUGAACUGACUUUUCUUCAUCAGGAAUGCCCUUCACUCUGCCCCUCUCACGCUACCCAUUUCCCCUCCCACGUGCAAUCACCUGCCUGGUGAACAUCUACUCUUCCUCGAAAACUUUGCUCAUACCAUCACCUCUCCCUUGGAGGUACCACUUCCUACUCCUACUUUCUGCUCAUCUCGUACCUCAUUAAAGAGAAUAGGAGGUUCCCACCACAAAAUCUGAAAGCCUCCUGCCACAAAACCUGUCUUCUUCCCUCUGUGCAACUGAAUGUGACUCCUUGUAAUCAAAUGCUCAUCCCUCAAUUCAUGUUGGGAAUCCCAUCUCUCUCACUUUCUCAAGAAGUUCAAUGCUUCUGUCAGACUGUCUCCAGUCAAUUAUUCCCAUCAGCAUAUAAACAUAAUCCAGUAUUACUGUCCUAACCAAUACUCCAUAUUGAUCCACAUCCCUUUCCAGCUACCAUUCUUUUCUGUCUUUCACAAUAAAAUUCCAUAAAAUAGUUGUGUACACACAGCACUUUUAUGUUUUCACUUCACAGUCACUUUGGAAUUCACUUCAAAUUGGCAUUCACCCACAUGACCCAGUUGGUCACUAAUGACCUUUAUAGUGCUAUGUCCACAUUUUCAUCUCACUAGAACUUUCAGCAACAUCCAACAAUUGACCAUUCUCUUCUCAAAAUUGGCCAUUCUCUUCUUGAAAUUGUUCUUGGCUUACAUGAUUCCAUAUUUCCCUGGUCUUUUAUCUGCUUCUCUACCUGCUCCUCCUAAGCCUCUGUUGUGUCUUUUCUUCCACUUUCUAUAAUACCUCUAAGUAUUGAAUUUCCUCAGUAUUCUGCUCUGAACCCCAUGCCUUAUGUUUCCAUAAAUAAUCUCAUUCAUCCUCAUGGCUUAAAAUACCAAUUCCAAGCCAAUGACUCCUAUGUCUGUAUCUCUAGUCCUAACCUCUCCUCUGACCUCCUGACUUAUACUCUUGUCUUUAUAACACCCACUUAUGAAUGCUUCAUGGACAUCUCACAUAAAUAUAUCCAAGACUGCAUUUUUAUUUCCCUCUGAAAACCUAGUCCUCCUUCCAUCCUCCCCACCUCCCUUUUUUGGCAACAUUAUCCACGCUGUUGAUCAGGUCUGGAUCCUGGGAGUCACUAAUUAUUUCUCCCUGUAUUUCUUCCUCUAGUCCAAUUCGUCACUAAGUCUGAUCAUCUGUCUCCUAAAUGCAGCAUAAGGAGAUCCACUUUUCUUUAUCGUUACUGCCACAUUGUAGUUUGAUCUACUAUUAUUUUAAACUUAACAACCACAAUACCUUCAAACUGAUCUCCAUGCACACAGAACACAGUGACUCUCAUCCUUAAUUGAAUCUCUACACAGCCACAGAAACAGUCUUUCUUGAAACAUAAAUCCCAGCAUGACACUGCCUGACAUGCAAUCUCUCUUUGCACUUUGUCUUAGUCCAGGUACAUCAGUGUUGCUAUAAGUCCUGUUGGUCAGCCUCCUGCCCCGUACCCUAAGCUCAUCUUACAUCAGCGAGUCCUCACUCUCCACUCUCUAGACUGACUCCUGAUGUUUUCUCAAGCAAGUUGAUUUCUUUCUCAUCUUAAUCCUUCACAGGUGGUACAUAGUGCUUCCCGAGUUUAGAUCUCCACUCUCCCUUAUGUUCUCAUAAAGGAUUCAUAUGUCCUUUAGGUCUUGGCUUAAAUGCCAUCUAUUCAGAGAAGCCUUCCCUGGCGACCUUAUCUGAGUCAAUCUUCCAUUGUUAUAUUGUUAUAUUGAUUUGCUUUGUUUCUUGCUACUUCUUCUACUUGACUCGGUAGAAGGCUCUGCAUAAUUGACCAAAAUAUAUACAGUGUUUUUCAGAGUGCUAGUCACCUAUUAGUACUGAAGAAUUAUUUGUUGAAUAACUUAAUGAUUUUUUUGCAGUUACACGAGUGUUGUUUUGAUUGACUGAAAAUAGAUUGCCUAAGAUGACAUGAAAGAUCAAAGGUGAAGAGUGGAAGAUAGCACCACUUUGGGUUAAAAGUUUACUUAAGUCAGCAACUCCUCAAGAAACAGCUACCAGCAUUCCUGGGACUAUUAUGCCCUGGUCUACUUGUAGCCUGUUUGUAUUCCAGCCUACUUUGGCACCUUGCCGUCUCUGCUUACCGACUUUCUGCAUAAGAGUGAAAUAGAAAGUGACUUGGAACCAUGUAUACCUAAAGUGUGACAUUUAAAAAAACGUCCUCAGAAAAACUAAUAUCCUGGUUAUUUUUGAAUGUGCUAAGAGACUCUUUUUUUUAAUCUUGUUUUUUUAUUUUGAAUAUAGAGCACAUUGAGGUUUAAAAUGGAAAAUUCUAUUAAAAAUAAAAGGCAUACGUUUACAUAUCUUACAAUUACCUCUGCUUCUGUCCCUCCCAUUCCUUAUGAG